RNAcentral lists this transfer RNA (71 nucleotides) under Leptospiraceae bacterium. Its description in RNAcentral is "tRNA-Trp". It matches the Rfam family "tRNA". From Rfam's summary of the family: Transfer RNA (tRNA) molecules are approximately 80 nucleotides in length. Their secondary structure includes four short double-helical elements and three loops (D, anti-codon, and T loops). Lineage: Bacteria; Pseudomonadati; Spirochaetota; Leptospiria; Leptospirales; Leptospiraceae. The record is from RNAcentral.
AGGCCUGUAGUUUAAUGGUAGAACAAAGAUCUCCAAAGUCUUUGGUGGGAGUUCGAUUCUCUCCAGGCCUG